CGGGGCGUAGCGCAGCUUGGUAGCGCAUCUGGUUUGGGACCAGAGGGCCGCGGGUUCAAAUCCUGCCGCCCCGA
RNAcentral lists this transfer RNA (74 nucleotides) under Bacillota bacterium. RNAcentral's name for it is "tRNA-Pro". It matches the Rfam family "tRNA". Rfam says of the family: Transfer RNA (tRNA) molecules are approximately 80 nucleotides in length. Their secondary structure includes four short double-helical elements and three loops (D, anti-codon, and T loops). Further hydrogen bonds mediate the characteristic L-shaped molecular structure. tRNAs have two regions of fundamental functional importance: the anti-codon, which is responsible for specific mRNA codon recognition, and the 3' end, to which the tRNAs corresponding amino acid is attached (by aminoacyl-tRNA synthetases). tRNAs cope with the degeneracy of the genetic code in two manners: having more than one tRNA (with a specific anti-codon) for a particular amino acid; and 'wobble' base-pairing, i.e. permitting non-standard base-pairing at the 3rd anti-codon position. The record is from RNAcentral. Lineage: Bacteria; Bacillati; Bacillota. RNAcentral also lists the same sequence under 3 other names.